This 460-nucleotide ribosomal RNA is filed under the name uncultured bacterium. RNAcentral describes it as "partial 16S ribosomal RNA". It matches the Rfam family "Bacterial small subunit ribosomal RNA", at positions 338 to 795 of the family's 1533-position model. The record is from RNAcentral.
CCUACGGGAGGCAGCAGUGAGGAAUAUUGGUCAAUGGACGAGAGUCUGAACCAGCCAAGUAGCGUGAAGGAUGACUGCCCUAUGGGUUGUAAACUUCUUUUAUAUGGGAAUAAAAUGUUCCACGUGUGGGAUUUUGUAUGUACCAUAUGAAUAAGGAUCGGCUAACUCCGUGCCAGCAGCCGCGGUAAUACGGAGGAUCCGAGCGUUAUCCGGGUUUAUUGGGUUUAAAGGGAGCGUAGGUGGAUUGUUAAGUCAGUUGUGAAAGUUUGCGGCUCAACCGUAAAAUUGCAGUUGAAACUGGCAGUCUUGAGUACAGGAGAGGUGGGCGGAAGUCGUGGUGUAGCGGUGAAAUGCUUAGAUAUCACGAAGAACUCCGAUUGCGAAGGCAGUUCACUGGACUGCAACUGACACUGAGGCUCGAAAGUGUGGGUAUCAAACAGGAUUAGAUACCCGAGUAGUC